GAUGAACGCUGGCGGCGUGCUUAACACAUGCAAGUCGAACGGAAAGGCCCAAGCUUGCUUGGGUACUCGAGUGGCGAACGGGUGAGUAACACGUGGGUGAUCUGCCCUGCACUUCGGGAUAAGCCUGGGAAACUGGGUCUAAUACCGGAUAGGACGAUGGUUUGGAUGCCAUUGUGGAAAGUUUUUUCGGUGUGGGAUGAGCUCGCGGCCUAUCAGCUUGUUGGUGGGGUAAUGGUCUACCAAGGCGUCGACGGGUAGCCGGCCUGAGAGGGUGUACGGCCACAUUGGAACUGAGAUACGGCCCAGACUCCUACGGGAGGCAGCAGUGGGGAAUAUUGCACAAUGGGAGCAAGCCUGAUGCAGCGACGCCGCGUGGGGGAUGACGGCCUUCGGGUUGUAAACUCCUUUCGCUAGGGACGAAGCGUUUUUGUGACGGUACCUGGAGAAGAAGCACCGGCUAACUACGUG
This 468-nucleotide ribosomal RNA is filed under the name uncultured bacterium. RNAcentral's name for it is "partial 16S ribosomal RNA". It matches the Rfam family "Bacterial small subunit ribosomal RNA", at positions 28 to 507 of the family's 1533-position model. The record is from RNAcentral.